GGAUGAAGCUCAUUGGUAGAACGCACCUGGGUGCAAUCCCCAGAACCAAAACCAAUAAGCGCGUUAGCAUCAGAGUGAACUCAGGUUAGAGAAAAGCGCAUGGUAUAGGCUGUCCCUCAUCUAAGGCAGAAUAUGAAUGUAUUUUUAUCUGCUUGUGUCUUUCUCACUUUAUUUUUUUUCCAGCAGGGCAGCGAUGGGAACCCAGGGCUCUAUGCAUGCUUGGCAAGUGCUCUACCACCGAGCUGCACCCAGUCCCUCCUUGCUUAUAUUUAAAAUGGAAGAAUGAACUUCAAAAUUUAAGAGAAAAAAAAAAAGAAAUAGGAUAAAAGGAACAGGCUUAUGGAGGCUGGAUGUCUUUGAGUUUAUCUUAUUUUUGUCAACAUGACUCUGAAACCAAAACCAAAUUAAAGGAGGAGAAGGAGAGAAAGAGAGAACCAGAGAAACUUGAAAUGAAAAUGAGCCGGCGGUUGUGAUUUGGAGUUGACAGCUCAACCACACAAAUAGGAAUUAUUUUGAAUGACUUUAAAACACAGUAGGUUUUUUUCAGUGCUGAGACUGAACCCAAGGGUGCUCUCCCACUGGGCUACAUCCCCAGCCCUUUUUAUGUUUUGAGACAGGGUCUCACUGAGUACCCAGACUGACCUUGAACUUGUGAUCCUCCUGCCUCAGCCUCCCCAGUUGCUGGAAUAACAGGUGUGUGCCACUGCUCCUGGCUGAAGCACAGUAUAUUGAGCACACUAUCCACAUAUUCCCUGGUAGGAUACACCCCAAGGCAAAAAAAGAAUUGCAGAUCUUUUUUUAAUUUUUAAAAAAUUUGUUCUAGUUUUAAUCGACAAUAGAAUGCAUUUUGACACAGCAUACAUAGAUGGAGUAUAACUUCUCAUUCGUCUGGUUGUGCAUAAGAAUUGCAAAUCUUAAGCUGUUUUUGACAAUCAUAGUGUUAGCUAUAAUUGCUGGCAUUACCAGUCUGAAAUUAUUCUAUGUAUUUUUGCAUAAAGAAAAUAAAAUAAUGUUAAUGUUGUUAGGAACCCAGAUUUUAGUGUUAGAGGAAAGAAGUCCAAGUAUAAAGGCAAUGCAGUUAAAUAAAAUCCUGUGAUCCUAAAUAAGGAAAUUGGCAAUACUGGUCUAACAUAUAAUGUAUCAUCUCUCAGAAAGGAAAGGCACAUCCUCUCUGUGUCCAGGGAGGAGGCCUGGGGCUGGAGGGAGGCUCUGGGUGGAGACUUGCCUACUGUGCAUGAGGCCCUGGGUUCCAGGCUCCAUCUCCAGAACUACAAAGGACCUGGAGAGCACCCCUAACUCCAGCUAAGGUCUCUAGGUGCCGUGUCCCACAAAAGGGUCGAGGGAUUCUGGAGAAACAGCCAAUCCCAAGACAGAGCGGGACACAGGCCAGACAAGCCGCAGGCAUCUGGUGGGACCAGAAAAUAAGGUCAUGGUGAAGGUCUCCAGAGCAGAUCCUAAGAGGCCCUCUGACCAAAGAUGGGGCCGUGAACAAGGGAGGGAGAAGGCAUGACCCUGAAAGCACAUUGAUUGGUUCUGUGUGUUGAUGCUUGAAGGGAGGAAAGCAUGAGAAAACGGGCCAGCUGUGCCUGGCGCUUGGAAGCUUUCAGAAGAGGAGCGAGUGGCCCCUUGCUGUUGUCCUGUAGGGUGCAGAGCCAGCCUGGCCUCAGAGGGACCCCUCCUCGCUCUGUGGCAAAACCACCUCCUGGAGCCUCACCUCCUCAGCGCCUCCUCUGUCCAUUCCAGGGAGGAGACCCCAGCCUCAGCUCCCUUCUCUCUGCCUCAAUUUCCCCAUCUAAGGCCACUGUGAGGCUCAGGGUCUGGUGGGUGCUCCUUUAAUG
This 1838-nucleotide long non-coding RNA is filed under the name Marmota monax (woodchuck). Lineage: Eukaryota; Metazoa; Chordata; Mammalia; Rodentia; Sciuridae. The record is from RNAcentral.